AAGGGGAGCUGGAUGAAGUCUGGCUGAGAAUAAAACCGUAAUUGUUUUUAACCCUUAACCUGAUCUGGGUAAUGCCAGCGUAGGGAAAUAAAGUAACU
RNAcentral lists this non-coding RNA (98 nucleotides) under chicken gut metagenome. The record is from RNAcentral.